Molecule: ribosomal RNA, 435 nt
Filed under: uncultured bacterium
Lineage: Bacteria
Description: partial 16S ribosomal RNA
Rfam family: Bacterial small subunit ribosomal RNA
Source: RNAcentral
GAUGAACGCUGGCGGUAUGCUUAACACAUGCAAGUCGAACGGACUCUUCGGAGUUAGUGGCGGACGGGUGAGUAACGCGUGAGAAUCUGGCUUUGGGUUCGGGACAACCACUGGAAACGGUGGCUAAUACCGGAUGUGCCGAGAGGUAAAAGAGAAAUUGCCUGAAGAUGAGCUCGCGUCUGAUUAGCUAGUUGGUGAGGUAAAGGCUCACCAAGGCAGCGAUCAGUAGCUGGUCUGAGAGGAUGACCAGCCACACUGGGACUGAGACACGGCCCAGACUCCUACGGGAGGCAGCAGUGGGGAAUUGUCCGCAAUGGGCGAAAGCCUGACGGAGCAAUACCGCCUGAGGGAAGAAGGCUCUUGGGUUGUAAACCUCUUUUCUUAGGGAAGAACAAAAUGACGGUUCCUAAGGAAUCAGCAUCGGCUAACUCCGUG